This is a long non-coding RNA of Arabidopsis thaliana (thale cress), 522 nucleotides long. RefSeq annotates it as other RNA. NCBI's taxonomy places the organism in Eukaryota, Viridiplantae, Streptophyta, Magnoliopsida, Brassicales, Brassicaceae. The transcript has a single exon. The record is from RefSeq.
AAAACCAAGGCUCAUCAUCAUCCACAACAAUCACUUCCUUGAGCUUCUUCGAUCGUUUAUCAUCUGGAGGCUGAAAAAUAAUGCAAAACGUGAUUAUAAGUAUUUACUAAACAAAAGAUGAAAUCAAAUUAAUCAACAAACGUUAAAAGCUUACAAUAACUGAUUCUUGAGGCAACACAUCAUCUGAAUCGAUGAUAAUAAUAUCAGCAGACUUGGCUGGUUCGCUGAUAAUAAUAUUAGUAGACUUGGUUGGUUCGCUAAUAAUAAUAUUAGCAGACUUGGCUGGUUUUUUCUCUUCUCUAGCUUCAAUAUCUGCCAGCGAGAUAUAACCACUCGAGUAGUCACGUUUCAGCUUACAAAGUCUCACAACAUCAUCAACAAGCAAUCCGUAUUUACUAUCUUCAAACCCAUCAAAGAGAUUAGGUAGAUAGAAUGGGUCAAGGCGCUUGGCAAGAUCUCCUUGAGUAAUGCUCUUGCUAAGUGGAUUUGGAGGCCAAGCUGUUCAUCAUCAAUCACGAGUAA